This 406-nucleotide ribosomal RNA is filed under the name uncultured bacterium. RNAcentral describes it as "partial 16S ribosomal RNA". It matches the Rfam family "Bacterial small subunit ribosomal RNA", at positions 30 to 526 of the family's 1533-position model. The record is from RNAcentral.
AUUGAACGCUGGCGGCAGGCCUAACACAUGCAAGUCGAACGAGGGGCGGCCGGGUGAGGAAUGUCUGGGAAACUGCCCGAUGGAGGGGGAUAACUACUGGAAACGGUAGCUAAUACCACAUACCAUCGGAUGUGCCCAGAUGGGAUGAGCUAGUCGGUGGGGUAAAGGCUCACCUAGGCGCAGAGCCCUAGCUGGUCUGAGAGGAUGACCAGCCACACUGGAACUUAGACACGGUCCAGACUCCUACGUGAGGCAGCAGUGGGGAAUAUUGCACAAUGGGCGCAAGCCUGAUGCAGCCAUGCCGCGUGUAUGAAGAAGUCCUUCGGGUUGUAAAGUACUUUCAGCGAGGAGGCGUUACUCGCAGAAGAAGCACCGGCUAACUCCGUGCCAGCAGCCGCGGUAAUAC